GCCAAGACUAGAUGAAGCAACAGUCUUUCCCAGCUGUAAUUUCUAAGAUUUUUGAAAAAUAAAAAUCACAGUUGAGUAAAAGGAAAGCCAUUCAAUGUGACACUUUCAAAAACUGGGAGUAAGGGCAAUGGCCGGAAAGGUUAGCCCACAGAAGCAGUUCUAGGGGUUGCUCCAUGGCAGAGCAGAGCUGGCCUUCACACAGAGGGCUACCUGGGCUUCCACUGUGAGCAGCAACAUCUGAAAUCUGAAUCUUUGCCUGGGGCUCACUCCAGUCAAGACACCCUUGUCAUGCAGGGAAGUCCUGUACCAACAGUCCAUGGGGCAGGGCACAGAAAUGGUUACUAGCAAAGAGCCUGGAAGAACUCUGCCUUCAGGACACACUGCUGCAGGAGCUGUGGAGGCCCAUGCCCCAGCAGCCUGUGGGUGUGUCCAGGGAUUGCACUCCUAUGGACUGUCAAGUUCAUUGGUUCCACCCUCUAUCCAGAUGUGGAGUCACAGCCUGCCUUCCUUCUUUAGCUUGCAGCUUCUUUAAAUAACCAUGAUGUUGCAACCAGAAUACAGCUUCUUAAACUCUGACCUUGGCAUGUUUGAAGGAGAAAAAAAAAAUGCAGCCACAUGUCAUUUGGAUUUCUGUGGAUGUCAUUGCAGACUCCUUGUGCUUGAGAAGAAGCGCUGUAAGACUAAAAGAGCAAGUAUAACCUUCAGGGUGUUUCCACUUUUUAAAAAGUUAUAAGUACAUAUUUGAACACAUUUGUUAAUAUGAAUACAUCUACACAAGCUGGGAGCACCAUGACAUAAAUAAACCUUCUGUUACUGGUGUGAGA
RNAcentral lists this long non-coding RNA (824 nucleotides) under Marmota monax (woodchuck). The record is from RNAcentral. Lineage: Eukaryota; Metazoa; Chordata; Mammalia; Rodentia; Sciuridae.